GAUGAACGCUAGCGACAGGCCUAACACAUGCAAGUCGAGGGGCAGCACAUGAGUAGCAAUACGAUGGUGGCGACCGGCGCACGGGUGAGUAACGCGUAUGCAACCUACCCAUUACAGGGGAAUAACUCUCGGAAACGGGAACUAAUACCGCAUAAUACUAUGAAGCUGCAUGGUUUUAUAGUUAAAGAUUUAUUGGUAAUGGAUGGGCAUGCGUGACAUUAGUUAGUUGGUAGGGUAACGGCCUACCAAGACUACGAUGUCUAGGGGUUCUGAGAGGAAGGUCCCCCACACUGGUACUGAGACACGGACCAGACUCCUACGGGAGGCAGCAGUGAGGAAUAUUGGUCAAUGGGCGAGAGUCUGAACCAGCCAAGUCGCGUGCAGGAUGACUGCCUUAUGGGUUGUAAACUGCUUUUAUAAAGGAAUAACAACAGAGAUGUAUCUCUGGAUGAAUGUACUUUAGGAAUAAGGAUCGGCUAACUCCGUGCCAGCCGCCGCCGUAA
Molecule: ribosomal RNA, 503 nt
Filed under: uncultured bacterium
Lineage: Bacteria
Description: partial 16S ribosomal RNA
Rfam family: Bacterial small subunit ribosomal RNA
Source: RNAcentral